UCCUUGGUAGUCAGUGGUUAAGACUCUGAACUUCCACUUCAGGAGGUAUGGGUUCAAUCCCUGGUUGGGGAA
RNAcentral lists this transfer RNA (72 nucleotides) under Capra hircus (goat). It matches the Rfam family "tRNA". From Rfam's summary of the family: Transfer RNA (tRNA) molecules are approximately 80 nucleotides in length. Their secondary structure includes four short double-helical elements and three loops (D, anti-codon, and T loops). Further hydrogen bonds mediate the characteristic L-shaped molecular structure. tRNAs have two regions of fundamental functional importance: the anti-codon, which is responsible for specific mRNA codon recognition, and the 3' end, to which the tRNAs corresponding amino acid is attached (by aminoacyl-tRNA synthetases). tRNAs cope with the degeneracy of the genetic code in two manners: having more than one tRNA (with a specific anti-codon) for a particular amino acid; and 'wobble' base-pairing, i.e. permitting non-standard base-pairing at the 3rd anti-codon position. Lineage: Eukaryota; Metazoa; Chordata; Mammalia; Artiodactyla; Bovidae. The record is from Rfam by way of RNAcentral. RNAcentral also lists the same sequence under 1 other name.